Molecule: long non-coding RNA, 361 nt
Organism: Saccostrea cuccullata (small rock oyster)
Lineage: Eukaryota; Metazoa; Mollusca; Bivalvia; Ostreida; Ostreidae
Exons: 4
Source: RefSeq, a predicted model, not a curated record
AUUUGUAAAUUGCAAAAAGUUGAAAAACAAACGUUACUUUACCUGAAAAGUGAAAGUAGAUUUGCAGUUUCUUAUUAUGUCAAGUGCUAUUGCACUUUAAAGUGUCAAAACAGCACCUCUCGAUUUUGUAAACAUGUUUCCACGUGGAAGGGAGUAGUUUAUGUCGGUCAAGAUUAACCCACAUACAUUGAUUUAGUAAACAAAAACACUCGUUAGAGUACAUUUUGAACAGCCAUCUGCAGGUAUGACAAAAAUAACACAAUUGACCCAAUGAGGAUAUACUCUGAAGACAGUGAUGUGCAAGUUCAAGGUUUGACUGUUAAUUACUUCAAUGAUAAAGAAUGGUUGAAAAAAUUCUCAC